Molecule: microRNA precursor, 52 nt
Organism: Nomascus leucogenys (northern white-cheeked gibbon)
Lineage: Eukaryota; Metazoa; Chordata; Mammalia; Primates; Hylobatidae
Rfam family: mir-1302 microRNA precursor family
Source: Rfam
UUUUUAGUGUAAGUAUGUCCCAUGCAAUAUUUGGGACAUACUUCUACUAAAA